Erigeron canadensis is the source of this 840-nucleotide long non-coding RNA. RefSeq lists it as uncharacterized. Lineage: Eukaryota; Viridiplantae; Streptophyta; Magnoliopsida; Asterales; Asteraceae. The transcript is spliced from 3 exons. The record is from RefSeq and is a predicted model, not a curated record.
AUCCCCCUAUAAAAACCCUACUUUUCAUAUUUAUCACCAUUCAUUCCAAUUUUCACUCACUAUCUUCAUCCCUCACUAUUAUCUAUACAUAACAACAAACAUAGAUCUAAACACACAACAAUAACACCACCACCACACAUUUUUAGGUUUAUGAGAUGUCAUUUUUUUCUCCUGGAGUUCAUGUAUCAGGCUUCAAUCAGUGUGGUCUAGACUACUUUCAUAAAUAGAAACACAAUUUCAAAUAACUCUUUCUUCACAUAAUUUUGAAAAAAAUGGAGAACUUCUACGACCGAGAUGUUCAACAAUUGAUAACUGAUGGAACAGAAACGUCUCAUUGCAGAGAGAUAGCCUUUGGUUGUCACUGUCGUGAAUGAAAAUGCGCGUGAAAUUUAUAUCCGAUGAGUUGAUUGAAUAAAUCUGGGUUGAACGUUACACCAUAUUAAUGACAUCCGCUACAACCCAUGAUAGUGGAUCAUUAAGUUGUUGGAUUUUGAAGACAAAGGUUUUGAAGCUCUUUGAAAAUUGGAGGCUGCUUUUGAACUUGUGAAACAGGUUUGACAUUGGUGAGGAAUGGAAACAGGGUCGGCCCUAAGAUAAGGCGGGAUGGGUGAGAACCCUGAGUAUCAGAUAACUACUUUAGUAUAUGUGGAAAACUUGAAGUAGGGAAUAUGUUUGUCGUUACAAACUUACAAAGAGUUACGAAGAAGAAGAAAGUUCACUUAUUUUAUUUACUCAUAAGUAGGAUUUAAAUUACUUAUUUACCUUUUUACUGUAAAGGAUAUUACUAAGGGUCACAUCUAAGUUAAUUUAAUGCCCUUCAUUGUUGGUACUUGGUACAAA